RNAcentral lists this ribosomal RNA (441 nucleotides) under uncultured bacterium. RNAcentral describes it as "partial 16S ribosomal RNA". It matches the Rfam family "Bacterial small subunit ribosomal RNA", at positions 338 to 795 of the family's 1533-position model. The record is from RNAcentral.
CCUACGGGAGGCAGCAGUGGGGGAUAUUGCACAAUGGGGGGAACCCUGAUGCAGCGACGCCGCGUGGGUGAAGGAGUGCUUCGGCAUGUAAAGCCCUAUCGGCAGGGAAGAAGCAAGACGGUACCUGACUAAGAAGCCCCGGCUAACUACGUGCCAGCAGCCGCGGUAAUACGUAGGGGGCGAGCGUUAUCCGGAUUCACGGGGUGUAAAGGGAGCGUAGACGGCCAAGCAAGCCAGGGGUGAAAGCCCGGGGCACAACCCCGGGACUGCCCUUGAAACUGCAUGGCUGGAGUGCGGGAGGGGCAGGCGGAAUUCCUGGUGUAGCGGUGAAAUGCGUAGAUAUCAGGAGGAACACCGGCGGCGAAGGCGGCCUGCUGGACCGCGACUGACGUUGAGGCUCGAAAGCGUGGGGAGCAAACAGGAUUAGAUACCCUGGUAGUC